RNAcentral lists this ribosomal RNA (1486 nucleotides) under Escherichia coli. RNAcentral's name for it is "partial 23S ribosomal RNA". It matches the Rfam family "Bacterial large subunit ribosomal RNA", at positions 38 to 1569 of the family's 2925-position model. Lineage: Bacteria; Pseudomonadati; Pseudomonadota; Gammaproteobacteria; Enterobacterales; Enterobacteriaceae. The record is from RNAcentral.
AGUCAGAGGCGAUGAAGGACGUGCUAAUCUGCGAUAAGCGUCGGUGAGGUGAUAUGAACCGUUAUAACCGGCGAUUUCCGAAUGGGGAAACCCAGUGUGUUUCGACACACUAUCAUUAACUGAAUCCAUAGGUUAAUGAGGCGAACCGGGGGAACUGAAACAUCUAAGUACCCCGAGGAAAAGAAAUCAACCGAGAUUCCCCCAGUAGCGGCGAGCGAACGGGGAGGAGCCCAGAGCCUGAAUCAGUGUGUGUGUUAGUGGAAGCGUCUGGAAAGGCGUGCGAUACAGGGUGACAGCCCCGUACACAAAAAUGCACAUAUUGUGAGCUCGAUGAGUAGGGCGGGACACGUGGUAUCCUGUCUGAAUAUGGGGGGACCAUCCUCCAAGGCUAAAUACUCCUGACUGACCGAUAGUGAACCAGUACCGUGAGGGAAAGGCGAAAAGAACCCCGGCGAGGGGAGUGAAAAAGAACCUGAAACCGUGUACGUACAAGCAGUGGGAGCCUCUUAAUGGGGUGACUGCGUACCUUUUGUAUAAUGGGUCAGCGACUUAUAUUCUGUAGCAAGGUUAACCGAAUAGGGGAGCCGAAGGGAAACCGAGUCUUAACUGGGCGUUAAGUUGCAGGGUAUAGACCCGAAACCCGGUGAUCUAGCCAUGGGCAGGUUGAAGGUUGGGUAACACUAACUGGAGGACCGAACCGACUAAUGUUGAAAAAUUAGCGGAUGACUUGUGGCUGGGGGUGAAAGGCCAAUCAAACCGGGAGAUAGCUGGUUCUCCCCGAAAGCUAUUUAGGUAGCGCCUCGUGAAUUCAUCUCCGGGGGUAGAGCACUGUUUCGGCAAGGGGGUCAUCCCGACUUACCAACCCGAUGCAAACUGCGAAUACCGGAGAAUGUUAUCACGGGAGACACACGGCGGGUGCUAACGUCCGUCGUGAAGAGGGAAACAACCCAGACCGCCAGCUAAGGUCCCAAAGUCAUGGUUAAGUGGGAAACGAUGUGGGAAGGCCCAGACAGCCAGGAUGUUGGCUUAGAAGCAGCCAUCAUUUAAAGAAAGCGUAAUAGCUCACUGGUCGAGUCGGCCUGCGCGGAAGAUGUAACGGGGCUAAACCAUGCACCGAAGCUGCGGCAGCGACACUAUGUGUUGUUGGGUAGGGGAGCGUUCUGUAAGCCUGUGAAGGUGGCCUGUGAGGGUUGCUGGAGGUAUCAGAAGUGCGAAUGCUGACAUAAGUAACGAUAAAGCGGGUGAAAAGCCCGCUCGCCGGAAGACCAAGGGUUCCUGUCCAACGUUAAUCGGGGCAGGGUGAGUCGACCCCUAAGGCGAGGCCGAAAGGCGUAGUCGAUGGGAAACAGGUUAAUAUUCCUGUACUUGGUGUUACUGCGAAGGGGGGACGGAGAAGGCUAUGUUGGCCGGGCGACGGUUGUCCCGGUUUAAGCGUGUAGGCUGGUUUUCCAGGCAAAUCCGGAAAACCAAGGCUGAGGCGUGAUGA